GGAUGAACGCUGGCGGCGUGCCUAACACAUGCAAGUCGAACGAAGCUUGACGGAUGAUUUCUUCGGAAUGAAACCAGAUAUGACUUAGUGGCGGACGGGUGAGUAACACGUGAGCAACCUGCCUUUCAGAGGGGGAUAACGGCUGGAAACGGUCGCUAAUACCGCAUGAUGUGUUCGGAUGGCAUCAUCUGAACAUCAAAGAUUUAUCGCUGAAAGAUGGGCUCGCGUCUGAUUAGAUAGUUGGUGGGGUAACGGCCUACCAAGUCUACGAUCAGCAGCCGGACUGAGAGGUUGAACGGCCACAUUGGGACUGAGAUACGGCCCAGACUCCUACGGGAGGCAGCAGUGGGGAAUAUUGCACAAUGGGGGAAACCCUGAUGCAGCAGCGCCGCGUGAAGGAUGACGGUUUUCGGAUUGUAAACUUCUUUUCUUAGUGACGAAGACAGUGACGGUAGCUAAGGAAUAAGCAUCGGCUAACUACGUGCCAGCAGCCGCGGUAAUACGUAGGAUGCAAGCGUUAUCCGGAUUUACUGGGUGUAAAGGGAGCGCAGGCGGGACUGCAAGUUGGAUGUGAAAUACCGUGGCUUAACCACGGAACUGCAUCCAAAACUGUAGUUCUUGAGUGAAGUAGAGGCAAGCGGAAUUCCGAGUGUAGCGGUGAAAUGCGUAGAUAUUCGGAGGAACACCAGUGGCGAAGGCGGCUUGCUGGGCUUUAACUGACGCUGAGGCUCGAAAGUGUGGGGAGCAAACAGGAUUAGAUACCCUGGUAGUCCACACUGUAAACGAUGAUAGCUAGGUGUGGGGGGUCUGACCCCUUCCGUGCCGGAGUUAACGCAAUAAGCUAUCCACCUGGGGAGUACGACCGCAAGGUUGCAACUCAAAGGAAUUGACGG
RNAcentral lists this ribosomal RNA (893 nucleotides) under uncultured Bacillota bacterium. RNAcentral's name for it is "bacterial SSU rRNA". It matches the Rfam family "Bacterial small subunit ribosomal RNA", at positions 27 to 916 of the family's 1533-position model. Lineage: Bacteria; Bacillati; Bacillota. The record is from RNAcentral.